UGCUCAACUUGGUGUGACGACCUCACGUUUUCUACUCCCCGUCCUGUUCGGAUUAAAAAUCCGGUUAUUUUUACCGCGGGAGAAAGUGUCCAUGGAACGUGUGUGACAUUCGAAGAUAUCUCGUCCAUGUUUCGAAUAGUUCCCAGUCAUAUUUUUUUUUUUCCCACUUGCAACCCCAUCUUUUUGUAUAUUAUUUCAGAAUUUCGUGUUGGCUGUUUCAUCCUAAAAACACAGUGAGUUGGACAGUUCCACUCUGUGCCUGCAUCUGGCCUCCUACCGCUGCUUCUCCUUCACAGUAAACAGUUAUAAAGUAUUUGUGGAGUCAUUUCCAAUAAAUUCAUGCUUGUGGGAAAAUAUUAAUACGUCCUUCCUUGCACCUUCGGUAUGAGGCUAUUUUAUUUUCUCCCCAACACAAGAUGAAGAAAAUCCCAAAGAAUGUUGUGCUUAAGGAAAAGAAAACUUUGCCAAUUUAUUCUCCUAGUAGGAGGAGUUUCCUGGAUCUCUUUCAGGAAAUUAUUUCAGGAGAGGAUAUUUUAUUUCCGGUUUCUUGAGAGGAUAACGCCAAUGUAUGCGUUCUUUACAGCGU
This is a long non-coding RNA of Stegodyphus dumicola, 586 nucleotides long. The record is from RefSeq and is a predicted model, not a curated record. NCBI's taxonomy places the organism in Eukaryota, Metazoa, Arthropoda, Arachnida, Araneae, Eresidae.